Spinacia oleracea (spinach) is the source of this 1447-nucleotide long non-coding RNA. RefSeq lists it as uncharacterized. The transcript has 4 exons. The record is from RefSeq and is a predicted model, not a curated record. NCBI's taxonomy places the organism in Eukaryota, Viridiplantae, Streptophyta, Magnoliopsida, Caryophyllales, Amaranthaceae.
CCCUUAAUUCCUUAAACACUUUCUACAGUUCUACCUCUCUUUGUUCGAUUUCUUCUUCUUCGUCGUUCUCCUUCAUCCUUUUCAUCAUCAUUCUUUGGAGAUUUUGUUUCUGAAUUUUUGAUUGGGUCUUUGAAUUAGAGAUAAGAGAAAUUGCUGAAUGGGUCUUUGAAUUGGAGAUGAGAAAAAUUGGCGAAUCGUGUUUCUGAAUUGGCGAGAAGAACAAGGUUGCAUAUCUAGUGCAGGGAUUGCUGCAAAUAUGCUUAUGGCUUGUCUUGCCACCAGAACUGCUAAACCAGAUGGUCAAUGCUAAAUUUCUCCGGAUAAGGUCGAUGAGUAUCUGUUACAACUCCCUAUAAAUACACUUCCAGGUAUUGGACAUGUGUUGGAGCAAAAGUUGAAAAAGAAAGGAGUUCAGACUUGCGGCCAGCUGCGAAUGUUUCCCAAGGAGGCUUUACAUAGGGACUUCGGAACAAAGACCGGUGAAAUGUUGUGGAAUUACUCCAGAGGUGUUGAUAACCGGCUAGUUGGAGUCAUUCAGGUUUGGCAUAAUAUAUGACACUAGUUUGUUGCGCCUCUUUGGUUUACUUAAAUUUUGUAUGGUGGUUGCUUAUGAGGAAUUGAGAGGUUACUUGGGAUGGAGUUACGUCUUGCAGCAAGACUAGCUACAGAAAACUUUAGUGGUUCACAUAUUCCUUAUUCGUUCUUUAGUAUCUUUAGUGGUUCACAAUUAUAUGUAUGGACACACCAGUUCAGUGAAAUGCACUCCAAAGUUUAACUUCCCACACUUACUCCACCUGGUUGUCCCCCAAACAUACCAAAGUAGCUUCUCUUUAUAAUGUUUUCUGAUACAAAUUGUUGGUUUGUUUGAUUUUUUGGAUAAUGCGUCAUGUGAAGCAGUAUAAAUGACUUUAAUGGUACAUAGUUGUUGUCAACUUGUCAAUUUUUCCUAGUCAAGAAAAUAACCUAAUACUACGUUCAUUUUGGAGUUGUUUGUUCUGGUUGUGAGUCUGCAACAAUUUUGCUGGUUCUGUUGGAGUUGUUUUUUCUAGUUGUGACUCUGCAAUGUGUUUUUAGUUAGAAUAUUCUGACCUGCUAGUAGUUGUUCAGUUCCGCAAGGGUGGCUAGUAGUUGUUAAGUUUCGCAAGGGUGGCUAUUCAGUUCCAGAUAGCAAAUUCUGAUGUGCUAGUAGCUUUUCAGAUUCUAAUGUGCAGGUUGUUGAUCAAUUCUGUAAGGUUCUGAUCUUCCAGAAUGGUUUGUUCUCGUUGUCAGUCUAGUAAAAUCCUGCGAUAGAAGUCGUGCAACUUUGAUGUGUUUAAGCUACUGCUUUGCAGGAUUGCAACAAGUUUUUUGCUCCCUGCAAUUAGUUUGUUUUGUUCAGCCAGGUGGUUUUAAGCUACGGCUUUGCAGGAUUGCAAUAAGUUAUUUGCUCCCUGGAACUAAUUUUUUU